UCGAAUGGGGAAAUUCAUUCGCGUUUCGAUUGUCGGCGUUAAGCGGUUGAGUGACUGACGGAGUACGCUUCGUCCGCACCUUCAGUUUUUCGAACCGACUUCGAACGCGUGCACUUUUCCCCUAGUAGGACGUCGCGAUCCGUUGGGUGUCGGUCUAAGGCUUGCGGUGGAGCUCGCGCGGACGUUUCGAUGUUCUGCACGAACCCGCAGUGUCCCGAUCGACUCGCUCGACGGUAUAAAGAUGGCGCGGGGCCGCUACUCAGUUAGCGUUCGGCCUACGGCAAGCACGUACGGUGUUUGACGGCGAUCAGACCUGGUCGGAUCCCGUCCCCGGACGACUGUUGGCACGUAGUGUUCUCGAACAGACCUCGUUGAAAUGCCGAUCUGCGACGCUUUAGCUUUGGGUACUUUCAGGACCCGUCUUGAAACMCG
RNAcentral lists this ribosomal RNA (432 nucleotides) under Discomorpha salvini. RNAcentral describes it as "eukaryotic LSU rRNA". The record is from RNAcentral. Lineage: Eukaryota; Metazoa; Arthropoda; Insecta; Coleoptera; Chrysomelidae.